This 402-nucleotide ribosomal RNA is filed under the name uncultured bacterium. RNAcentral's name for it is "partial 16S ribosomal RNA". It matches the Rfam family "Bacterial small subunit ribosomal RNA", at positions 360 to 774 of the family's 1533-position model. The record is from RNAcentral.
AAUGUUGCACAAUGGGCGAAAGCCUGAUGCAGCAACGCCGCGUGAGGGAUGACGGCCUUCGGGUUGUAAAGCUCUUUCAGCGGGGGAGAAGCGUAAGUGACGGUACCUGCAGCGAAAGCACCGGCUAACUCCGCGCCAGCAGCCGCGGUAAUACGUAGGGUGCAAGCGUUGUCCGGAAUUAUUGGGCGUAAAGAGCUCGUAGGCGGCUUGUCGAGUCUGAUGUGAAAUCCCAGGGCUCAACCGCGGGGGGGCAGUGGGUACUGGGAGACUAGAGUGCAGAAGAGGAAAUUGGAAUUCCAAGUGUAGCGGUGAAAUGCGUAGAGAUCAGGAGGAACACCAGUGGCGAAGGCAACUUUCUGGGCCGCAACUGACGCUGAGGAGCGAAAGCGUGGGGAGCAAACA